UCGAACGAGUUGAGAGCUUGCUUCUUAAGUAGUGGCGAACGGGUGAGUAACGCGUGAGUACCUGCCCUAGAGUGGGGGACAACAGUUGGAAACGACUGCUAAUACCGCAUAAGACCGCAUGGCAAAAGAUUUAUCGCUUUAGGAUGGACUCGCGUCCAAUUAGCUAGUUGGUGAGGUAACGGCCCACCAAGGCGACGAUUGGUAGCCGGACUGAGAGGUUGAACGGCCACAUUGGGACUGAGACACGGCCCAGACUCCUACGGGAGGCAGCAGUGGGGGAUAUUGCACAAUGGGGGAAACCCUGAUGCAGCGACGCCGCGUGGAGGAAGAAGGUUUUCGGAUUGUAAACUCCUGUCGUUAGGGACGAUAAUGACGGUACCUAACAAGAAAGCACCGGCUAACUACGUGCCAGCAGCCGCGGUAAAACGUAGGGUGCAAGCGUUGUCCGGAAUUACUGGGUGUAAAGGGAGCGCAGGCGGGAAGACAAGUUGGAAGUGAAAACCAUGGGCUCAACCCAUGAAUUGCUUUCAAAACUGUUUUUCUUGAGUAGUGCAGAGGUAGAUGGAAUUCCCGGUGUAGCGGUGGAAUGCGUAGAUAUCGGGAGGAACACCAGUGGCGAAGGCGGUCUACUGGGCACCAACUGACGCUGAGGCUCGAAAGCAUGGGUAGCAAACAGGAUUAGAUACCCUGGUAGUCCAUGCCGUACACGAUGAUUACUAGGUG
Molecule: ribosomal RNA, 723 nt
Filed under: uncultured bacterium
Lineage: Bacteria
Description: bacterial SSU rRNA
Rfam family: Bacterial small subunit ribosomal RNA
Source: RNAcentral